CCUACGGGUGGCAGCAGUGAGGAAUAUUGGUCAAUGGCCGGAAGGCUGAACCAGCCAUGCCGCGUGAAGGUCAGUGCCCUAUGGGCGUUAAACUUCUUUUGUGCGGGAGCAAUAAUGGUCACGUGUGGCCAGACGAGAGUACCGUACGAAUAAGCAUCGGCUAACUCCGUGCCAGCAGCCGCGGUAAUACGGGGGAUGCAAGCGUUAUCCGGAGUUAUUUGGGUUAAAGGGUGCGUAGGCUGGGAGGUAAGUCAGAGGUGAAAUGCCCCCGCUCAACGGGGUGAAGUGCCAUUGAUACUGCAUUGCUGGAAUGCGGAUGCCGUGGGAGGAAUGUGUGGUGUAGCGGUGAAAUGCAUAGAUAUCACACAGAACACCGAUUGCGAAGGCAUCUCACGAAUCCGCGAUUGACGCUGAUGCACGAAAGCGUGGGUAUCAAACAGGAUUAGAUACCCCUGUAGUC
This 460-nucleotide ribosomal RNA is filed under the name uncultured bacterium. RNAcentral's name for it is "partial 16S ribosomal RNA". It matches the Rfam family "Bacterial small subunit ribosomal RNA", at positions 338 to 795 of the family's 1533-position model. The record is from RNAcentral.